UACGGGGGGGGCAAGCGUUGUUCGGAAUUAUUGGGCGUAAAGAGCUCGUAGGCGGUUUGUCGCGUCUGCUGUGAAAUCCCGAGGCUCAACCUCGGGUCUGCAGUGGGUACGGGCAGGCUAGAGUGCGGUAGGGGAGAAUGGAACUCCUGGUGUAGCGGUGGAAUGCGCAGAUAUCAGGAAGAACACCGAUGGCGAAGGCAGUUCUCUGGGCCGUAACUGACGCUGAGGAGCGAAAGCGUGGGGAGCGAACAGG
Molecule: ribosomal RNA, 253 nt
Filed under: uncultured bacterium
Lineage: Bacteria
Description: partial 16S ribosomal RNA
Rfam family: Bacterial small subunit ribosomal RNA
Source: RNAcentral